Non-coding RNA from Neolamprologus brichardi, 1994 nucleotides. The record is from RefSeq and is a predicted model, not a curated record. Lineage: Eukaryota; Metazoa; Chordata; Actinopteri; Cichliformes; Cichlidae.
CAACUCUGUGCCAACCAGCUUCAGAAUGGCGAUGUGCCUCAGGCCUGUGUAACCAUGGAAACCAUUUUUUGAAAAGACAUCAGAAUGAGGCAAACAAUUUUUAGACAACAGCAUGACUUCAAAUGAGAACAGCAGUAUGCUGACCAACUGUUCCUUAUCAGUCUGCUUAUUUAGGCUGAUUGUUACUUAUUUGUUAUUGGAACUGUCCUAAGCACUGGUCUCUAGGUAAAGGGAGGAGAAUGUGAUGGUGGUCCGGAAAGCCCUGCCAAAAAAGCUGUUUCCUCUGAAGUGAGAAAGCCCACAUUAAACACAGGAGAACGCUGGCUUCACUUGGUGAGCGCCAAGUGCUGAAUACCAGGAUCAAACCUCUCAGUCAGCAGGACAGGCCUUUGUGUGGGAUGAGGGAGCGAGGGGGCAGCCCUGGGUGCUAAACCAGCCAAGAGCAACACACGAAGGGAAAAAAGUCCCAGUAGAACCUAAACUGGAUCUAGUGUUAAAGCAAGAAAAGCUGAUUUUUUCAAUCAUCUGACUUGACUUAAAUAAAAACAGUGUACACUCAAACAGAUAAAUGGUAGCACUUUCUAGGAAGUUAUAUUUCAUGAGAGCUUUAUAAGCUAGGACAAAUGAUAAAUAAUCUGUUAAUGCUUCACAGAUCAACAGUAAGCUAAAAAUAUUUUUUUAUCAUUGCAAGGUUGUAAAAAAUUGCUUUGGCUUAAAUAUAAACCCCUAUUUAAUGCCCCUGUGUACACACAGUGUAUGUGUGUUUGAAGGUGAAACAGGCAUGAAACAUUCAAAAAGACAGGGCAGUGAAAGAUUACUUGUCAUCUUGUUCACUAGCCCUUAAGGUCAGAAACUGAUAUAAUGUAAUUGUAGAUUUAAUGGCUGAUUGUUACAAAUAAAACAUCUGACUCAAGGUCAAGCUCAUACACGUGAAAGACCAUUUAGUGUUGCAGAAGCAACAAAAGUCUGAAGGGAGCCAGGAAGAAAUGUCCAAAAUCUUCAGCUUGUGCAAACAAAACAAGAGCGUGAGGUUCAUCUUGGGCAGAAAGUCCUGCUGACAGCAGUUAUUUGGUUUCACAGAGAAGGAAAGUUCACCGUGGGCUAUUUAAAGUUUACAUGUAUCUUCCACAAACCUGUCAAACAUGUCAGGUUGUUGAGAUUUGCAAAGUUGAGACAAAUGCCUCUUUUUGAGAUGUGCGGUAAUAACUUUCAAGUUGCUGUGGAAAAGUUGACUAACUGGCCGGCUGAAAAGUCUCCUGCCAGGGGAGGAAAAGAAAAACAGUUCAGUUUUUUGCCAGUUCCGUCAUCUGGGAUCCUUCUCCACAUCCGCUGGGACGUGACACAGGCCCGUGUGAAGUGAAGGUCACCUUGGAAUAAACACGUCAUCAAAGGGAAGUUUCAUAAAGAGUUCUGCUCUUUUAGGCAUCUCUUCCCAGGAAAUGAAUCUUUGUACUUUUGGACUUGCAGGAACAGAAGAUUGUUAUGGGUGGCUGUGCAUCUUCCACUAAUCAGAAGCAGGCAGCAGAUUUUGGAGAAAAAAACCUACACCACCUAAACAGCACCAAGCAGCAGAGAGACUCAAUUAGAGCUUGGGUGGCGAGCAUAUUUGAGCUUUUAGCAACUGAAGUGACCUCUGAAAAGUGAAACUGGUUGACUUCUGGUGACUCACCCAGAUUGCAGGCUUGGCUGUUGAGGGCGUAGAGCUGCUGCUGAUAGGCCCACUCCUCGUCGUUGGGAGCGGAGAUAAUGAACAGGCGACGUCUCCAUCGGAACCUGCAAUCACAGAAAAUUUGAGUCCGGAUUUAAGUGGCAGUUUGGUCCCGCAGUGAGAGUGCUGUACCAAGACAAGGAGUUUGUGCUUGUGUGCUACAUAUUCCCCCUAUUACUGCCAGAGGGUGACAACCCGGAAUUAUGGUCAAAAACCUGCCAGAUCUCUACACUGUGUUCGGGGGGAUUCAGGUCUCUAUGGCAACAAAAGACAGCCUGUCUUUAGA